Cavia porcellus (domestic guinea pig) is the source of this 205-nucleotide non-coding RNA. The record is from Rfam. NCBI's taxonomy places the organism in Eukaryota, Metazoa, Chordata, Mammalia, Rodentia, Caviidae.
UGGCGCCCCAACGUGGGACUCGAGAACAGGGGACUUCAUGAGGGAUGCUGUUCGUGGGCCCAAAGUAGAAAAAGGAAAAGAAAAUAGAAGACCAACGUGGGAGCCUGCCACGCCGCUGAACCUUGGUAAGUGAACAGCAAUUAUGGGACAAGAAAUUAGCCAGCAUGAGAUUUUUGUUAAAAGUUUAGAAAGGCUUUGAAAGAUG